CAGCCGCCACGGGAAUACGUAGGGUGCGAGCGUUAAUCGGAAUUACUGGGCGUAAAGCGUGCGCAGGCGGUUGUGUAAGACAGGUGUGAAAUCCCCGGGCUUAACCUGGGAACUGUGCUUGUGACUGCACGGCUAGAGUAUGGCAGAGGGGGGUGGAAUUCCACGUGUAGCAGUGAAAUGCGUAGAGAUGUGGAGGAACACCGAUGGCGAAGGCAGCCCCCUGGGCCAAUACUGACGCUCAUGCACGAAAGCGUGGGGAGCAAACAGGAUUAGAUACCCCCGUAGUCCCUGUCUCUUAUAC
RNAcentral lists this ribosomal RNA (301 nucleotides) under uncultured bacterium. Its description in RNAcentral is "partial 16S ribosomal RNA". It matches the Rfam family "Bacterial small subunit ribosomal RNA", at positions 509 to 807 of the family's 1533-position model. The record is from RNAcentral.